RNAcentral lists this long non-coding RNA (606 nucleotides) under Physcomitrium patens. RNAcentral describes it as "long non-coding RNA (PPAT_LNC004562)". Lineage: Eukaryota; Viridiplantae; Streptophyta; Bryopsida; Funariales; Funariaceae. The record is from RNAcentral.
AAUCCUAAUUCUAAUAGAAUAUUGAGAAUGCUCUAAUUAGACCAUAAUAAUGCUAAGCAAGCUUAAUCAAAUUCAAAAAAACUUCAAAAAAUUUCAAACAAACAAUAAGAAUUCUUAAAGAAAUAUUAGAAGGAUCACAAAUAUCACUCAAAUACAUCUCAAUUCAAUCUUAAUUUAAUUCUAGUUGAAAUCCUAUUGAACUUCAUUCAAACUUUAGGCCAAACCUAAUUAAAUCUUAAAUCUUAAUAAAAUCCUAAACCCUAAAUCAAACCCUAAAUAAAUCUUAAAUCCUAAUAAAAUCCUAAACCCUAAAUCAAACCAUAAAUAAAUCUUAAACCAAAUCCCAACCAAAUCCUAAACCAAAUCCGAACCAAACUCUAAAUCCUUAAUCAAAUCCUAAUAAAAUCUUAAUCCAAAUCCUAAAUCCUAAACCAAACCCUAAUCCAAAUCCUAAAUAAAAUCCUAACCAAAUCCUAAUACAAAUCCUAAAUCCUAAACCAAAUUCUAAUCAAAUCCUAAAUCCUAAAUCAAACCCUAAUCAAACCAUAAACCCUAAAUCAAACCCUAAUCCAAAUCCUAAAUCCUAAACCAAAAUCUAACCAAAUC